UCAACUUGGAGGUGCACAGUGGU
This 23-nucleotide non-coding RNA is filed under the name Arabidopsis thaliana (thale cress). Lineage: Eukaryota; Viridiplantae; Streptophyta; Magnoliopsida; Brassicales; Brassicaceae. The record is from RNAcentral.